UGUCAGUACCGCCGGACAAUGGAUGAUUUUUUAAUCUCAAUUUCUCAAUAACAUAUUAUCGCGAUUAAUAGACUGAAAUACUAGAGACUGAAGGUUUCAGAGGACCUAUACGAAAGUCACCGCCCAGUGCAACUGUCUUGAAAUCAGUAUACGACCGUUACAAAGAUUUCGCAUUUUGAGAAAAAAAGCCAGUGCCUUAAUUAUUUAAUUAGUACUCAUAAAAAGGUGUAAGAGAAGUGACCAUCCGCGUGAAACGUGCACUGAGUUAUGACGUCCCAUGCAGAUCACAGCGAGGUCAUGACGACUGCAAAUCCUUCACAAAACGAAAUGAGACUCGUAAUUAGUAAUAUGAAUGAGUAAAACUAGCCUAACACUGGUCUGUUAGAUUGGGGAAAUAGGUCUUUGAGGAGCAGCUGGUCUUUAGAAGCAUAACCAAUCAGAAACAAGAAUGCUAUUAAUAUAUACAGGAACGGAGAAUAGAUUUAUUAAGGGGGGUAGGGGUACGAAAAAAUCGAAUGUGAUAUAACAGUUUGUUUUUCCUUUGGCAAACGAAAUAAAAUCUCAAGUAGAACGCUUCACUCACAGACAA
Molecule: long non-coding RNA, 589 nt
Organism: Actinia tenebrosa (Australian red waratah sea anemone)
Lineage: Eukaryota; Metazoa; Cnidaria; Anthozoa; Actiniaria; Actiniidae
Source: RefSeq, a predicted model, not a curated record